This is a long non-coding RNA of Ctenopharyngodon idella (grass carp), 1452 nucleotides long. RefSeq lists it as uncharacterized. The transcript has 3 exons. NCBI's taxonomy places the organism in Eukaryota, Metazoa, Chordata, Actinopteri, Cypriniformes, Xenocyprididae. The record is from RefSeq and is a predicted model, not a curated record.
GAAAAUGAAAAAGUUCUCUUUUGUCAUAUUAAGCAGUCUCACUGCAAACAAAUUGCAGGUAGUUUUUAGAUGCACAAACCUCAGUCAAUAUAAAUUGUGCAUUUUUUAUGACAUGCUGCAUAAGUCAAUGCCUGAUAUUCCUGUGUUUGUGUCUUGCAGUACAGUCUGGUUGUGGUGGAGGUGAGAAUUCGCUCCAAGUCUUUGAAUAGACAUGACACUGCUUUAUUUCUGGAUGUUGUCUUUGUACUUUUCACAAUGGUUUUGAAGGCUUUCUGAGCUGUUAAUUGUUUUACUAGGACAAGCAUUAUUACUGGAUUGGUCAGAGGACAAAUGUUUCCUCAACCGGAUACUGGAGUUUUCUCAUGCUUUAACCCCAGAGACUCUGAUCGGGAUAUACACGAUUUUAUUGGUGACAGAAUGAAUUCCCAGGCUUUUGAAGUGAAAAAAUAUAUUUUACCCAGGUUUGACAUCAGUGUAAACACAUCACACAUGCGUUGGAGAUGUGGGACUGAAAAAACACCUAUGGGCAACCUGUACCUGGUCAAGGGACCGUUUCCCUAUGUUUUGGUUCCUGAGGUGACCCGUCUGUGCCUGAAUGAAACCUCUAAGGUAUGACUACUGGUAUAACUCAUGUUUGUGGCAUUUCGUUUCCCAGAUGUGGUCAAUCUGUAACCGUGUCCAUCACAUUUAAAGUUGGAAAGUUUAUGUUUGCAGAGCUCCCAGAGUUUUUUUUUUUUUUUUUUUUUUAAACCUGGAUCAACAGUUGACGGAAAGGCAAGUAGAAGUUCAUCACAUUGGUGUUCUUUCCUAACGUUUCUUUCCCAGCAGAUCUUGGCAUCUUAUUUCAAGCGCAUUUCUUAUUUCAAGUUAUUUCAUGUCUUAGAUGGUAGCCAGUCCCUUAAGGCCGGAACACACCAAGCCGACUCCGACGAACUAGUGGUGACGAAAGCAGACUGCGGGGUUGGCUCAUGUCGGCAGCGUCUGUGUCCAAAGUUGCCCUGACGCACCAAACCGAUGCUCGACACCCGACGGCCAAGUAGCACGUCCGUUCUGCGCCUGCGCAAGAUGAAAUGCCUUUCCGUACCAGCAGGUGGCAGUAGCUGAACAGCCGAUCAGAAUGAUCAGAGGGCCCGACGGACCGACGAGCGCCGAUUCAACAUUUCGAAUCGGCCGGAAAAAAGCCGACGAGGACCAACUUCAGCCGACGGUGCAGAACACACUGAGAAAACUUAGUCGGCCGACAAACAAAAACUGCCCGACGGCCAACCGUCGGCUUGGUGUGUUCCGGCCUUUACAGAAUGAAAAUAUAUUUUCAUAUUUAUAAUCAAUACAAUAAAUGGGUUAAAUAAACUGAAAAAUAUAUGAAAUAAUAUAUGUGUUAAUAUAUUACAAUAUAUAGAAUAUAUAUACAUAACGAAUUGCUGUUUUUCUACAUUCUUUUCUUUUCUUUAG